RNA transcript from Populus trichocarpa (black cottonwood), 845 nucleotides. RefSeq lists it as uncharacterized. The transcript is spliced from 2 exons. NCBI's taxonomy places the organism in Eukaryota, Viridiplantae, Streptophyta, Magnoliopsida, Malpighiales, Salicaceae. The record is from RefSeq and is a predicted model, not a curated record.
CCUCCACAUUGCAUCCAUCCUCAGCUUCUGUACUUUGAUUACAAGUCGUUAGUUUUCUUAUAGCAAGCAAAAGAUAUGGCUCAAAUUGGCAAGAAGGAGGUCAAGACACCAAUUCAAUGCUCUGCUGCUAAGUUUUAUGAGGUCUACUGGAAAGAAGCGUACCUCUUGCCGACGAUUUCUCCUCGUAAUGUUAAGAAAAUAGAACUCGUUGACGGUACUUCUAGUUGGGAGGAUAAAGUAGGCUCCCGCAAGCGCGUUCACUUCGAUGAAGCUGGACUUGAGGAUUUCAAGGAUGAAGUGGUAGAGAUUGACCCUAAAGCCAAGCAAAUCACCUACAAGGUGUUGGAAGGAAACAUGAUGCUUUUCUAUCACAGCUUCCAGGCAGCCCUUGAGGUCACUGAAGGCACCGCGAAAUGGACUGUUGAAUUUAUAAAGAAACAUGACUCAUGCCCAAAUCCUGAUCAUUACUUGCACCGUUUAGAUUCCGUCAACAAGGAUGUUAAUGCUUCCCUUCCUCCUAAGGAUGUUAAUGCUUACCUUCUUCCUAUUAACUAGGAACAGCACGACAGAACAUGCCCUUUGUUUAAGUGAAGCUAGCUAGUACGUACGUGGUACUGUGAAACAAACGCUUCAAAUUAAAGGUGCAUGUAAUUCCCAGGCCCUAAUAUAUAGUAUAGAGCACUUUAGACCUUUGGAUUCCAUCAGUUAGGCUGUUGAUGCUUCCCUUCUACAAGGUGUGUGGCAUGAAAAGAUAAGCCUGGUACUUGUAUAAUAAUUCAGGUGGCCAUCCUCUGUGUAACUUUGUGUGAUCUAGUAAUUAAUAAUAUGUGCUCAAUUUCCUUAAA